GGUGCAUGUCCACUGCAGGAACCUCUUCCUGCUCCGUGGGUGGUUAAAGCGAGAAUACGGGCAGUGAUCAAACUUCAAACGUCAUAAUUAAAGAUACCUUGCCCAAUGCAAGUACCUUUUUCUAGGAGGUUUAAGAACUUGUAUAAGCACCUGUAUUCUCUGCAAUGCAAAAUUCCAACCCUACAGGUUUGUGCCCUAUGUUCUGCUCUCAUUAUACUACAAUAAGAAUAUUAUUCAAAUUGUUCACCACGAUGUCCUAUAUUUCGAUGCAUGCAGGUUUUCCACUGGGAGAACAAGUUUCUAGAUACCACAAUAAGAAUACUCAUUUUCUUGUUCUCUGUUUUUCAUUGCAAUUUUUUGUUGUGCAAUAUGAGUUGAUAUGAAUCAAACAUCCCAAAUAUUAUUGUUGACUAAUUUUUUAAUUACCUCCCUUCCAAGCAGCCCUUGAACAAUGAACAAGGAAAUUUCGGAGUCCUUGUUUCACUGCCUCCGAGGACGUGGGAGCCACCACCACCGUUGCUUACUUCCACAACUAAAAGUCCUAGGUAUCUGUUCUCGCUCCCUAUAAGUUGCCGUUUUCAUAUCAUGAUUAUGUUUUCCAAUAAGAUUGGCAGAAAAAGAUUAUCGUUUGCAAUGUUUUUUCAAGGAAAAGCUCCCUCGAGGGACAUUUCUUGUGAGCAACAUAUUACAUUUGAGUACAUGUCACUGCUAAAAACAUGAUUGAAUGGGCAAGAAACAUCACAAUAAUUCAUACAAGAAAUAGAGAAGGAUAUGGAAGAAAGUGUUCCUAGCUAAGUUGUGCGCUUUCUUGUAUUGAUUUCCAAAAAUACGUCUGAAGAUAGCAUCGCUCAUGUAUCCCUUCUGGCGAAUGAAACUGAUAGUGGGUCUCAAUUGCCAUUUGUGUGGAUUCAUACUUGAGUCUUGGGAGUUAAUUGCUUUAAUACCAGUAGCAUUAUCUGAUGAGAUGAGGCAACCAUGUAUUUUCUAGCAUCAUGACUUCAGCCUACUGGUAGCAUUAUGCGAUGAAAUGAGGAGGCGACCAUAUUUUUUCCAGUAUGAUGACUUGAGCCGCAGCAUCAUGCCGAGUAGCCGAAGAAGUAACUACAGUCACUUUUAUUGUAGAUUCGUGUUGGCCAGCUUGAGACUGAAUAUAAACUAAGGUGCAUAGAGAGGGAUCGGUCAUAAUAAGCAUCUGUGUACAUCAUAAUUGUAUUCCUCCGUCGAGUACACAAGAGAGAGGGGUAUGUUGUUUUAGAAGAGGGCAAAAUAUAGUUAAAAGAGGGCAAAAUAAAGCAUGUAGGCUGAUGAAUGUCAAUUUAGACCAUCAUUUUGCAAUUGCUACUUUUGGUUCCAAAGGAUUAACAAGAUAAACUCUAUUGUUUAUAUGACCUUGCACUUAGGAAGUUUACGUUGCAAAUUUUAUCACACUAGCAAUGUUGUGUGCAGAGAUAAUUUGUUUCAGCAAACUUGAUCAUGUGGAGAUUGUUGUGUGCAGAUAUCAGACUUCAGUGGCUAUAAGAAAAACUAAAGCUCUGUUUCCACAGGCGAGUAAAUGCAGCCUGACUGAAGAAUGCAAGCUCUGUUUCCUCAAGCUAUGUAUUAGGUUGCAUAUAUAUAACAAAGUGAAGUCCUCAUCCUGGUUGGUUUGGCAUGGCCACAUCCUCAUGGCCAAUAAGCUGUUGCGCUAGAGAUGGCCAGGCAGUGAGAUUUGCCCGACGUGUGGCUCUUGCGAAGAGACGGCCAGCUUUGCGAGGCAAGUAUGGCCAGGGUGGCCUUUUGGUCAUGAUACCAGGUGUUGUCUCCCCCAGUUCCUAAAACAUCGCUCCCAUCUAUGACUGGUGGAUGGCGAUCAGGUUUCAAAGGAGGAGAAAAAGCAUUUUCAUGGACUCACCUCGUAUGGCGUUAGGAAAAAUUGGAACAUUAAGUCAAUGACACCACAUUCAAGAUAUGAUUUGUUAUAGUUGUUCCGGAUGCAUGGUGGGGGGCUGAGGUUUUGGGCCUCCCUUUUCCCCUCUAUUAGACAAAAUCUACCUGUAUGGGUCUGGCUGUAAAACUAACUUCGACUAACAUAUCCUUGCUUGCGAUGGAAUACAAAUGUAUUUUCUUUAAGCUGUAAUACUAAAAUACUUGUUUUUGCGAUGUAAUAUGGGUAUAGUUGAUUUUUUUGUGCGUGCAUACUCAAGGAUUUCAUGAAUGGAAUAUUGUGUUUUUUCUGCGAUGAAACAACACAUUAUACUUGUAUAAUCAACUUGCUUCACAAGAAUAUAAUUGUAUCUGAUGCAUGAGAUGAAUACGACUCAUUUGUGUAGGGGGUAGAUAAAGCAUAGAGCCACCUCCGAAAUUGCCA
This 2347-nucleotide long non-coding RNA is filed under the name Triticum aestivum (bread wheat). Its description in RNAcentral is "long non-coding RNA (TAES_LNC025904)". The record is from RNAcentral. Lineage: Eukaryota; Viridiplantae; Streptophyta; Magnoliopsida; Poales; Poaceae.